CUCUACUCUUUGUAUUUGUCAUUGCCUUCUCCAGCUGACACAAAUUUCCAUGUAGCACUGCAUCAGACAGGCAGGCAAAGAGCUAGCAUCACUAGCAGCCGAGCACAGUAACAGUACCCAGAGACUAACACCCAUUAUAUUUAGGGAUGGGUAUCGAAACCUGGUUCUUGUUGAGAACCGGUUCCCACUGUUUCAAUUCCUUGGAAUUGUUUGCCAUUUUUGCAAACGAUUCCCUUAUCGAUUCCAGUCGCCUCGAAUGACGUCACCACGUUGCGGAGCGUCAUUUACCUGGCAGGGCGCCUAAGCGGCUCAGACGCUCAAAAGUUUGGUUAUACUUUACGAGAACGGAUGACAACAGGGCAACUUGCAAUACUUGCAAAGUAGAUAUUUCAUUUAUGGGAGGAAACACUACGAAUAUGCAAAAGCAUUUGCUCACAGAACACGCGAUAACCUUAAAUGAAUGUCGUGUUCUUAUUUCCGCUCCGGACUCGUGAAUCUCAACCCAGCAGCAGCGGUAACGUUUGCACGUCCUCUCCCGUUAAUGCGGCAGGUGACCAUGAUGAGACAGACAGAGUCUGGCUGGCUCACAUGCUGGCAGUUCUCGCUGCAGUCUACCGGUAGCGUCUCCUUUCAGGCCAGGAUAGACGAAUGUCACCGAGCAGUGACUAAGUUUGUGGUCAAAGGCUUGCACCCAUUUGCCCCGAUUUUCGGAGUCGCCCCAGCUAGUCAUCUGCCUCCACCUCACUCUACCCCUUGCAUCCUGUUCUGUCAAACCAGCCCUCUGCAUGCCCUCCUUCUGAAUGUCAUAGAUGUAGUGAUGUUGUAAUGUCCGACUUUUGCGAUUUUGCUGCUGCUACCAUGUAGAUUAUUUAAAGUCUCUGGUAACCAUGUUUGGACAUGGCUGUGACGUGCUAAGUUGUUAAAAUGAACAAAAUUGUUUGACAACAUCCACAGACUCUGUGAGUCCAAGGUACAGACUUCUUACAUGGACAUUUAGGCAGUUAAC
This is a long non-coding RNA of Oreochromis aureus, 1006 nucleotides long. Lineage: Eukaryota; Metazoa; Chordata; Actinopteri; Cichliformes; Cichlidae. The record is from Ensembl.